Long non-coding RNA from Brachypodium distachyon (stiff brome), 956 nucleotides. RefSeq lists it as uncharacterized. The transcript has 6 exons. The record is from RefSeq and is a predicted model, not a curated record. Lineage: Eukaryota; Viridiplantae; Streptophyta; Magnoliopsida; Poales; Poaceae.
GUCUCUUUUCUUUCCAGACUCAGUCGGCUACUUCAGUUUGUCAGUUGGCUCUGCUGUAGUACGAGUUUCUGGAGAGGCCGAGCCGCCGAGAGAGGGGAAGCGAUUCUGUUCGCCGUAUGCGGGUCUUGCUCACCGCCGCCCUCCGGUGAAGGUUUCAGAGGCAGCAGGGGUUCGAGUGCUCAUCGGCGGCGUGGGGUUCCUCUCUGCGCCGUACCCUACUCUGUGCAGGGCCGAGAGGGGUUUGCUUUUCUGCCAGCCUCCGGUGAGUCUCUGAUUUUUUGCUCGCUCGUCGUGGUUGGUUGGGGACGGAUGUGCAGCAGAAGCAGCUGUUGAUUUCUCUUUGAAUCCCUCGUUUUCUGGUUCGUGUCGGAGCAUGCUUCGGGCUGGGCUGGUGUAACGGAUCAUUGGCGCAGAUAUGAUUUCGGAAAUGAUUUGUGUGGGUUUUGGUACAUAGGAUUCUAGCGUAUUCUGAAAUUUUCAGAUUGAAUUGGUGCAAAUUUUGAGGUUAUUUCUGCUGGCGACACUGGAUCUUAUAAGAAGGAAUUUAGCUCGCAACAUGACUCUGACCGUUGUGAUGUGGAGCAGCUGUUGGUGAUUCUGUGAAUGACAGUGCAUUUUGGUGAUAUAUUUUGAGUGCAAUAUUCAUUUCAGGAACUCAAACAAGCAGGACCAGAGAUUGAUUUCAAAACUAGAGGUGUUUUAUCUGAAAAUAAUCGCAGAAACUAAAAAUAGGGGCACCUCGCUCACCUUUCCCGUCCACGUCUUGGAGAGAGGCUUGUCCUCUCCCACCUGGACUCGCCAUUCCUGCUCAGUCAGAACAUCAUCCACCAGAGCUGCUUCACCCCCUGCAAAAGGACUGCAGCAGGCAGGUUGAGAUACUUGGAUCCUCUGGCGGCAGUGUGAAGCGGCUCGUAGACGAUAUGACCACAGCGGUCUUGGUGGUUUCUACUACUUCA